RNAcentral lists this ribosomal RNA (447 nucleotides) under uncultured bacterium. RNAcentral's name for it is "bacterial SSU rRNA". It matches the Rfam family "Bacterial small subunit ribosomal RNA", at positions 355 to 825 of the family's 1533-position model. The record is from RNAcentral.
UCGGGAAUUUUGGGCAAUGGGCGAAAGCCUGACCCAGCAACGCCGCGUGAAGGAUGAAGUAUUUCGGUAUGUAAACUUCGAAAGAAUAGGAAGAAUAAAUGACGGUACUAUUUAUAAGGUCCGGCUAACUACGUGCCAGCAGCCGCGGUAAUACGUAGGGACCAAGCGUUGUUCGGAUUUACUGGGCGUAAAGGGCGCGUAGGCGGCAAUUCAAGUCAUCUGUGAAAUCUCCGGGCUUAACUCGGAACGGUCAGAUGAUACUGCUUUGCUAGAGUGCAGAAGGGGCAAUCGGAAUUCUUGGUGUAGCGGUGAAAUGCGUAGAUAUCAAGAGGAACACCUGAGGUGAAGACGGGUUGCUGGGCUGACACUGACGCUGAGGCACGAAAGCGUGGGUAGCGAACAGGAUUAGAUACCCACGUAGUCCCUGAGCGGGCUGGCAAGGCGCAU